Molecule: ribosomal RNA, 1819 nt
Filed under: human gut metagenome
Description: bacterial LSU rRNA
Rfam family: Bacterial large subunit ribosomal RNA
Source: RNAcentral
UCUGGGAAGGAUGACCAAAGAAGGUGAUAGUCCUGUAUUUAUAAGCAAACUAUGUAAAAACGAGUAGGGCGGAGCACGAGAAAUUCUGUCUGAAGAUGGGUAGACCACUAUCCAAGGCUAAGUACUACUGAUUGACCGAUAGUGAACAAGUACCGUGAGGGAAAGGUGAAAAGCACCCCGAUAAGGGGAGUGAAAGAGAACCUGAAACCGGAUGCCUACAAGCAGUCGGAGGAACAUUAAGUUCUGACGGCGUACCUUUUGUAUAAUGGGUCAGCGACUUAAUUUAUGUAGCAAGCCUAAGCCGAUAGGUGUAAGCGAAGCGAAAGCGAGUGUUAAUAGCGCGAAAAGUUACAUGGAUUAGACCCGAAACCGAGUGAUCUAGCUAUGAGCAGGUUGAAGGUUGGGUAACACCAACUGGAGGACCGCACCCACGCCUGUUGAAAAAGUCGGGGAUGACUUGUAGCUAGGGGUGAAAGGCCAAUCAAACUCGGAAAUAGCUGGUUCUCCGCGAAAACUAUUUAGGUAGUGCGGCAAGCGAAUACCUUGAGGGGUAGAGCACUGGAAGAAUGAGGGGGGAGCGAUCCUUACUAAAUUUUACCAAACUCCGAAUACUCAAGAGUAAUACUUGCCAGACAGACAGUAGGUGCUAAGGUCUAUUGUCGAGAGGGAAAGAGCCCAGACCGUCAAUUAAGGUCCCUAAAUUAUGGCUAAGUGGUAAAGGAAGUGAAUUGUCCAAAACAGUCAGGAGGUUGGCUUAGAAGCAGCCAUCCUUUAAAGAAAGCGUAAUAGCUCACUGAUCUAAUUAAGACGAUUUGCGCCGAAGAUGUAACGGGGCUAAAGCCAUAUACCGAAAUUACGGGUUUGUACUAAGUACAAGCGGUAGCGGAGCGUUCUGUAAGCCUGCGAAGGUGUUCCGUAAGGAAUGCUGGAGGUAUCAGAAGUGAGAAUGCUGACAUGAGUAGCGAAAAGAAGUGUGAGAGACACUUCCGCUGAAAGUCCAAGGUUUCCUGCGUAAAGCUAAUCUGCGCAGGGUUAGUCGGCCCCUAAGGUGAGGCUGAGAAGCGUAGCUGAUGGGAAGCAGGUUAAUAUUCCUGCACCAGCUAGGAGGUGACGGAUUUCAAAGAUUGUAACUGAUUAUUGGAUUUCGGUUGCAGUUCAGAAGUUCCAGGAAAGAGCCCUAGCAUAGACCGUACCCCAAACCGACACAGGUGGACAGGUAGAGAAUACCAAAGCGCUUGAGAGAACUAUGUUGAAGGAACUAGGCAAAAUGCUUGUGUAACUUCGGGAUAAGCAAGCCCCAUUUUUAGGCAACUAAAGGUGGGGGGCACAUACUAGGGGGUAGCGACUGUUUACUAAAAACACAGGGCUCUGCUAAAUUGAAAGAUGAAGUAUAGGGUCUGACGCCUGCCCGGUGCUGGAAGGUUAAGGAGAGAUGUUCACGCAUUGAACUGAAGCCCCAGUAAACGGCGGCCGUAACUAUAACGGUCCUAAGGUAGCGAAAUUCCUUGUCGGGUAAGUUCCGACCUGCACGAAUGGCGUAACGACUUCCCCGCUGUCUCCAACAUAGGCUCAGCGAAAUUGAACUCUGAGUUAAGAUGCUCAGUACCCGCGGUUAGACGGAAAGACCCCGUGAACCUUUACUAUAGCUUUGCAGUGGUAUUAGGUAAUAGAUGUGUAGAAUAGGUGGGAUGCUAUGAAGCAGGGACGCUAGUUCUUGUGGAGCAGACUUUGAAAUACCACCCUUUUGUUAUUUGAUAUCUAACCUGCUCCCGUAGAUCCGGGAGAGGGACCCUGCAUGGUGGGUAGUUUGACUGGGGCG